RNAcentral lists this small RNA (371 nucleotides) under Pan troglodytes (chimpanzee). RNAcentral's name for it is "processed transcript". The record is from RNAcentral. Lineage: Eukaryota; Metazoa; Chordata; Mammalia; Primates; Hominidae.
CCUCCCAGGAGGGUUGCCCAGGGCACCCACCAUCGUGCUGGUUGGCAGCCUUGCCUCCACUGCGGCCAUCACCUCCAGGAUGCUGGGCUGGACCACGUGGGCCAGGUGGUGACCAGAAGAUGGAGGACUGGCAGGAUCCCCUGGAGAGCCCCAUCCUUGCCUUGCCGCUCUGCAGGAGCACCCGCCGUCUGAGUGAAGAGGAGUUUGGGGGGUUCAGGAUAGGGAAUGGGGAGGUCAGAGGACGCAAAGCAGCAGCCAUGUAGAAUGAACCGUCCAGAGAGCCAAGCACGGCAGAGGACUGCAGGCCAUCAGCGUGCACUGUUCGUAUUUGGAGUUCAUGCAAAACGAGUGUGUUUUAGCUGCUCUUGCCA